ACAGGUGACAGGCACAGCUGUAAGAUGCAUUACAGAUCUAUAGCAAUUGGAAGGGCGUGACCCAACUGAAAUAAACAUUAACAACUGUGUGACGUGAGGGCUAAGGAGAAAUGAAAGUGUCACUUCUGGAAUUUGCAAAUGACUACUAUACUGAUACGUAACUGGACAGAAUAAAUUUACAAUCUAUAAAUGUCUUUGAAUAACCAGUCACUCACCUGGGAAGGCCUUGAAAUCAAUGUUACCAUCUGGGGACUCUGUGACCCAGUGAUAAUAAAAAGACUGAAAGGAGGUCUGCAACCAAAUAACUUUACUCAACUCUUUGCAACUGAAUCAGUGGAGGCAAAGAUGCGUCUCAUUUACUUGACAGUUUAUGCACCACCCUGCAGAAAACACAACUCUUCUGAAAGUAUAUCUGAAAAAGA
Molecule: long non-coding RNA, 422 nt
Organism: Octopus sinensis (East Asian common octopus)
Lineage: Eukaryota; Metazoa; Mollusca; Cephalopoda; Octopoda; Octopodidae
Exons: 3
Source: RefSeq, a predicted model, not a curated record